AGGGUCAUCAACACUGGCAAGAGCAAGCAGUAGGCACUAGCGCCUAGUUUAGUGGCUGGUACCAUGGUCGAUCGAUGGAGCUUGUAGCGCCGCCGCGUUGUCUGUGAGAUAGUCCGGUUCAUCUUAGAUUUCCAGUGUCUUUGAGAUUUGAGAAGGAUUGAACUUGUCGUGCACCAUUGUUCGGGAUGUCGUAGCGUGUAUGAUCCGUAUCGUUUUGUUUGGACUUGUUGUACUGUAUGGUGUUGUUGAACUACCAGUAGAAGAGUUUGGUGCUUUAAGUAUCAGCUUCUCUUCUGGCUGCCGCCCUCAUGUUUUGAGCUCCAUGGAAGUUCAGUCCUGGUUAUUUUUAGGGGUGGCAACACAUUAUUCCUAACUUGUAGGGAUAUGCACAGUUUUUCAUUUUUGCACAGUUUUUCUUGGGUUUUCUUGUUUGCCUUUUCUUUUCGGCUUUUAGUUUCUUUCUUUAGUUUUCUUUGUUAGUUUCAACGGUUUCUUUGUUUUUCUUUGUAUCCUUCUUGGUUUUCACUCUUUUGCAUUGGUUUUCUUUGUUUUUUUACUUCUUACAGGGUUUCUUUGUUUUUCUUUGUUUCUAUGUCGAUUUCAUCGGUUUUCUUUUUGUAAUACACAUGUCAACUUUUUUCAGUACACAUUAUAUAUUUUCCAUAUUCGUCAGAAACAUAUUUUAUAUACAUGUUUAACAUUUUUUGAAAAACAAUUUAUUAUUUCUAAUUUUGUCUAUGCACAUUGUAUAUUUUUGGUAUAUAUGUAAUACAAUUUUAUAUACACAUUUUACAUUUAAAAAUACAGGAUUAUCAUUUUUUCAAUACAUGGUUAAAAAAUUCAAAAGACAGAAAAUAUUUUUUCAAUGGCAAAAAAUAUUUUUUCGCAUACAAUGUACAUUUUUGUACUCACCAGGAGCAUUUUUAUACACAGUUAAUUUUUUUAAAUACAUUAUAAACAAUUUUUCAUGCACAUUGUUUUUUUAUAUAUUUGUCGUGUACAUGACAAACAUUAUUUCAAUAAACAUUUAACAUUUUUCAAAUGUUUGAUGAUUUUUUUAAGUGAUUAAUUAACAUUUUUUUAAAUACAUGAUUAACCUUUUCCAUACACAUUGUAGUUUUUUGCAUACAUUUUCCUUAUACAUGAGAAAAUUUUCUCCAUUCACAUUAAAUUUUCCAAAUGCUUUGUUAAGAUUUUUUCAAAUGUUUUAUGUAAUGUUUAUUGUAUUAUAAAUAUUUACAAUAUUUGGAAUUAUAAAAAAACUACAAUAGAAAGCAAUAAAUAAAUAAAUAAUGUUUUAUGUAAUGUUUUAUUUAGUGGAUGAGCUCAGUUCUUACAUGGGUCUCACAUCUCCUUCUCUGUUAAAAAUAAGUAGGGGCUUCUUCCCCCUACCGGUCUAGUUAUUUUAAUAAAUAAAUAAGCAGGAGCAAAAUAGAGAAAAAAAAAACGAGGCAGUGGCCUGUGGCCACCCUCACUGGGCCGGGCCAUUUAAGGAGCCGCUUGCCGUGAGCGCAACUUAGGUGUCGCUAUAAGCCAAACAUUUUUUUAGUCUAAACAUACUUUGCUCUUUUAAGUAAUCAAGUGAUACAAUGUAAGUCCGGAGGAUUUAUGAGCCAAACAUGGCGCCCGACAUCCAAACCAAAAGCAAGUUUAGCGAGACUAUGUGCCUCGAAGUUUGACUCUCUCCCUUCGAAGAUGAAGGUUCAUUAUUGAAAAUUCUUCGAUCUUUCCAAAAUCUCCUUGAUGAUGUUUGUAUAAACGCCUCCAGUGUUGUUCUUGAUGUCAUGAACUACACCUUGGCAGUCUGAUGCCACUAGCACAUGUGAUAGCGCAAGAUCUGUAGACAUGGCGCACCCCAUAGGAGUGGCUUCGCUGAAGCCUACGCGAAUGGGCUAGCCAACUUUGGGCACAAACUGUUUGUUUAUAUUUUCCUCUUCGUUUUUGUCUUCGGUUUUUCACUGAAAAAAUAGCUAUUAUUUUAUAGAAAUAUUUUUGUAACCUAUUAAAAAUACAAAAUUAUAUUUUAAAAAUUAUUUGGUAUAUGUUUUAUGAAAGUUCUGCGUAUAUUAAAAAAUCACCAUUUAUUCAGAAAAUAUUUGCUGUGUAUUAAAAAAUGCUCAUUAUAUAUUAAAAAAUUAAUUGAUAUAAAGUAAAUAUUCAUCAUGUAUAAAAAAAGUUCAGUGUGUGUUUUGAAAAAUGUUCACUUAAUACUAAAAAAAGUUAUUGUCUAUUUGAAAAACUCACCGUAUGCUGAACACAAGUGCAUUUGAAAUUUUUUCACCGUAUAGUACAAACCUAUAAAAUUAGAAAAAAUUGAAAACCCGAAAUAACAGUGAACCCAAGAUCUCCAAAAGAAAAAAAACGGAAAGAGAAGAG
This 2376-nucleotide long non-coding RNA is filed under the name Triticum aestivum (bread wheat). RNAcentral's name for it is "long non-coding RNA (TAES_LNC002583)". Lineage: Eukaryota; Viridiplantae; Streptophyta; Magnoliopsida; Poales; Poaceae. The record is from RNAcentral.